UUGAGUGGCCAAACCUCCUUGUCAAAGCCUGACCACAUCAGAUCUCUGAAGCUAAGCAGGGCUAGGCCUGGUUACAACUUCGAUGAAAGACGACUGGGAAUACAAUCUGCCACAAAAA
This 118-nucleotide ribosomal RNA is filed under the name Periophthalmus magnuspinnatus. The record is from RNAcentral. Lineage: Eukaryota; Metazoa; Chordata; Actinopteri; Gobiiformes; Gobiidae.